This is a long non-coding RNA of Pan troglodytes (chimpanzee), 3310 nucleotides long. RefSeq lists it as uncharacterized. The transcript is spliced from 5 exons. Lineage: Eukaryota; Metazoa; Chordata; Mammalia; Primates; Hominidae. The record is from RefSeq and is a predicted model, not a curated record.
GAGAGUUUGAGUUUCAGUCCCUAAAGCCAGGGGCAAGUUUUUCAAGAGACCCAUAGUGCAAGGCCACAUUGUGGACUAUGUAACUUCAGCUAAUUUCUUGCAAAUCAAUCAAAGCAUAUGGACUAUAUUUUAAUUCUACAGACAUUGUGUUAGGCAGAACAGCUACCAACACCCAAUCCCUGAAAUUUGUGAUUAUGUUUUGAUACAUGGCAAAAGGAACUAUGCAGAUGUAAUUAAGGUUAAGAACUUUAAAAUAGGAAGAUUAAAUCCAACGAGUUCUUCAAAGUAAAGAACUACUACAUGCAGAAGGUGAGAAACUCCAGUGUUGGAACCUGGCCUUCAAUGUUGUCAUGCCAAGAUUGGGAAGAAAUAACAGAGAGUGCUUGAAGAAUAGAUGUGGCUAGGACAAUAUCUCUGAAUCUCUGAAUGGCCCAUGGUGGUGACCCCCAGCCAGAGUGAACUGUGCAGCAGCAAUGGUGCCCAGUGGGCAGCAACAGUGGAACAGAAGGAAGAUGGAGAAAAAAGAACACUGACAACUCUCCCAAGCAGCACCAUUUCAAAAAACAUUUACAAGAUAGUGGAUGUGGUGGUGACAACUGAGGAAAGAGCACAGAGACAAAAUCAGAAGCUUGUUGAACUCCUUCUCUCUCUCCUACCAACCUGGAACCGAGGGCUUUUAUAUAGAAUUUCAAGUGCUGUCCUUUACCCCUUUGUUAACUUAUUCUAAGCAUGAAGACAAGCACUCUUGGAAUGAUCAUUUAAAACAGUCACUGCCCUUUCAUGAUAGCCUCCUCAGACCUUGCCAGCUUGAACAAUAAAUUACAAAUCAUUUUUUUGCUGCUAUUGCUGAGGUAUAGCUUUCAAUAUUAUCACUGAUUUAAGAGUUGAUGUAUUUUGAAAAGUCAGACUAAUAUGGCAGCAUUUCGGAUGAGGCCUCUUUUGUGUGUCUGCUUUAUUCCUUUGUUGGAGUUCCACAUUUUCUUUGUGUGGGACCGAGGAAUCACGGAAAAUUGCCACUUGUGUGAUAAAUUACUGUUUUCACCCAUCAAACAUAGAAAAUGCUCCAUGUGAGCCUUGCACACCAUUAUGUUGUCCCAUCUAGGACCCUUUGAAAGUCAGCAGGGUGCAUCUGGCUGAAAUUCAGUCAGGCGAUUACAUUUAUUCAAGCUUGGUGAACUUGAGAGCUUUCAAAAGGAGAGUAGCUGAAGGGAUGAGAUUAUAGUCCUGACAGGGCUCUGGAAAGGGUGUCUGACACCUGACGGCUCACAGCGAGCCAUGAUACCUGUUCCCAUUGAUUUGCAACAAAGUCUUUCUCAAUAAGGAUUUCCACUUAACAUUUCCUCUCAGGGAACCUGUGCCGUUGAAGAUAUUUACAAGUUGCUUUCAGCUUAAAAAUAAAUCACCUCUAAUUCCUCUAAGCGAAAUCAAUCAAAAACCUGUAAAAAAUGGACUGGUUGUUUGGUCGAUUCUGGCAGAAAAGUAAACAGCACUUCAGCUUUUCUCCGCCAUUAAGGCCUAAAUGGCCUAGAAAGUAAAUCAAUAUUUCUAGUCAGCCUUCUGGCUAUUGUUUAGCCAGUAGAUAUGGAUUUCUCUGGCUUACUGAACUCCUUUGGGACUAGCCUAUAAUCCUCUGAGAGGAAUAAUAAGUUCGUUAUCUAGUUCAGCUCUCUGUUGUACAUUUAAAUGGACUACAUCCAUCAGCAGCCCUUGUUAAAGGGUGAGGGCAUCCCAUUCAACCCCCUUUAGAGUGAAACACUUCCAACACAGUGAGGGGGAAAUUAUAAUUCAAAGUUCUACUGGUUGGCAAAUGACCUAAAAACCCUAAGUGGGGGUGAGGCAGUAAUUUGAGUAUAAGGAGGCAUAUCAUACUGCUGUUUCAAGCUAGGAAAUGCUACUUGCCCAUUUCUGAGUAUACUAUGAUACAUACAUAAGGGUAUUUGCUAGAGAGUCUCUCAUUAUUCCUACUAGUCCUUCUUGAAUGUUUUUAUUUAAAUACUCCUGUGAUUCUGAACAGUAAAAGCUAUCAGAACUUUCCUGAUGUAGCAAACCAACAUGCUUCCACCUCUCCUUGUCAGCAAAUGGAGAAUCUCAUACUUCUACUAAUUUUACUUUAAUAAUUUAAAAAUGACUGUACUAACAGCUUGGCAAUACAGUUUUUGAGGGUUUUAGAAGAUAAGAAUCCUGGAUAAAAGACCAUUCCUUAAAGAAAUUAAUUUCCCCUUGCCUUUCAACUUGAUAAACUAAAAUUCUUCUUUAAAUUCCAUCCAUGUAUUCUGGCUUCAUAUGAAGAAGUGAUAAUGUAGGAAUAAUUUAUUUUGAGCUAUUUUAUACACUUAAUUUUUAUGUUAUUUUGUUGAUUUCUUAAUAAGAGCCACAAAGACAAAAAUAAAUUAUGAUUACUUGAAACUUUCAAAUGUAGGUAUUUAUGGUAUCCAAGACAUUUCUUUAACAAAACAAAAACAAUAGUGUUUCCAAAGGUCCCAGGUGUCUCUUAUUAAGUCUUGGCAUGUAUUUCAUUUAGAGAUUGUUUUCAUAAUUUUUUAAAGUAAAAUUAUCACAACAGAAUUAAUAAAGGGAAAUAUAAUUAUUUAGAUAAAAUAGUCACAAUAGAAUUUAGAAGGUAGAAUUUGUAUGCAACAUAUACUCAUUUAGGAAUGGAAGUUAUUAUAUUAAUGACUAAUAUUGAGCUAGCCUAUGAAGCUGACUUGUUCUGUAGAGAUUUUUGCCGCUGCCUUCUUCAAGGACUCACCUCUUCAAUUUCCAGAAAGUUUGUUUUAGAGAGAAUACUUAAUUAUUUGGAAAUCUUUUAUGGGGAAAAAUUAAAUUCAGUAAAAAUCAACCUAAAAGUUUGUAUUCAAUUUGAUACAUUUGUUAACUACGCUUGCUAGAGGUAUUUUGUGAUUAAAUAAUAACUUUACCGAUUAUUAAUGCCACAUUAAAUUCACUUUUAAGAAUUCAGUUAACAACUGUUUUUGCAUGGAAAUGUAGAAUUUUAUCUAUUUUGGUUUUUGCUGUAUUUUGAAGAAGUCUAUGCUGAGAAUCUGACUGUGACAGAUUUUGCUCCUCAUAAGCCAAGUCAACUUUCUCACUAUCACCUUUCAUAUUCUCCAACUUAUUUGAUGGCUGAUGUUCUUCCCAGGAGGAGAUAAAAAGGUGACUUGAAUGAUAAGGGAGGCCAGACAUGGUGGCUUAUGCCUGUAAUCCCAGAUUUUGAGAGGCUGAGGCAGGUGGAUCGCUUGAGCCCAGGCGAGACCAGCCUAAGCAACAUGGCCGGUCUACAAAAGAAAAAAAAAAAAAAAAAAAGGAAAAA